UUGAUUUGCCAUAUCACCCUGCAGCCCAAGGCUUGUGGUUGCCCACUGAAGCUAAGCAGGGUUGAGCCUGGUCAGUACCUGGAUGGAAGACCUCCUGGGGAAACUAGGUUGCUGCUGGAA
Molecule: ribosomal RNA, 120 nt
Filed under: Sinocyclocheilus anshuiensis
Lineage: Eukaryota; Metazoa; Chordata; Actinopteri; Cypriniformes; Cyprinidae
Source: RNAcentral